AGAAUCAACGCUGGCGGCGUGCCUAACACAUGCAAGUCGAUCGAGAAAGUGGAGCAAUCCAUGAGUAAAGAGGCGCACGGGUGAGUAACACGUGACUAACCUACCUUCGAGUGGGGAAUAACCUGGGGAAACCCGGGCUAAUACCGCAUAAUACCUACGGGUCAAAGGAGCAAUUCGCUUGAAGAGGGGGUCGCGGCAGAUUAGUUAGUUGGCGGGGUAAUGGCCCACCAAGACGAUGAUCUGUAUCCGGCCUGAGAGGGCGCACGGACACACUGGAACUGAAACACGGUCCAGACUCCUACGGGAGGCAGCAGUGGGGAAUUUUGCGCAAUGGGGGAAACCCUGACGCAGCAACGCCGCGUGGAGGAUGAAGUCCCUUGGGACGUAAACUCCUUUCGACCGGGACGAUUAUGACGGUACCGGAUGAAGAGCCCGCUAACUUCGCGCCGGCAGCCGC
RNAcentral lists this ribosomal RNA (457 nucleotides) under uncultured bacterium. RNAcentral's name for it is "SSU rRNA". It matches the Rfam family "Bacterial small subunit ribosomal RNA", at positions 26 to 518 of the family's 1533-position model. The record is from RNAcentral.